GUCCAAUAAAAAGCAUAAAUGAUAAAAUGGGGGAAGGAAGCGCGAAAUCCCUAACAAUCGCGGAGCUAGUCCGUGAAUGUCGUCCUCGCACCGGCGCAUGGUCACUCAUUUCCAGUCCUUGUCUGAGAAUUCCAUCACCCCAGUUUUUACCCUCCCUCACCACUCCCACACUGUGUUCCCACAAAAUACUCAAAUCCCUUAACUACCCAACUCUUCUUACUGGAAUCCUUUUUCUACCUCCUCAUGGAGAUGGACACGAUUCACCUCUCAACUGCAAUUGUUUUCGUUUCUCUGAUGGCUAUGACACUAUUUGUUGUGACAUUAUUGGGUUUAAUCCCUCUAUGAUUAACAAAAAGGUUCAAAUUUUAGGUUGGAAUUUCAUACCCUUCAACUGUAAUGCUA
Molecule: unclassified non-coding RNA, 402 nt
Filed under: Hevea brasiliensis (rubber tree)
Lineage: Eukaryota; Viridiplantae; Streptophyta; Magnoliopsida; Malpighiales; Euphorbiaceae
Source: RNAcentral